This 1102-nucleotide ribosomal RNA is filed under the name Neurospora tetraspora. Its description in RNAcentral is "eukaryotic LSU rRNA". It matches the Rfam family "Eukaryotic large subunit ribosomal RNA", at positions 25 to 1159 of the family's 3401-position model. Lineage: Eukaryota; Fungi; Ascomycota; Sordariomycetes; Sordariales; Sordariaceae. The record is from RNAcentral.
CCGCUGAACUUAAGCAUAUCAAUAAGCGGAGGAAAAGAAACCAACAGGGAUUGCCCUAGUAACGGCGAGUGAAGCGGCAACAGCUCAAAUUUGAAAUCUGGCUUCGGCCCGAGUUGUAAUUUGUAGAGGAAGCUUUUGGUGAGGCACCUUCUGAGUCCCCUGGAACGGGGCGCCAUAGAGGGUGAGAGCCCCGUAUAGUCGGAUGCCGAUCCAAUGUAAAGCUCCUUCGACGAGUCGAGUAGUUUGGGAAUGCUGCUCAAAAUGGGAGGUAAAUUUCUUCUAAAGCUAAAUACCGGCCAGAGACCGAUAGCGCACAAGUAGAGUGAUCGAAAGAUGAAAAGCACUUUGAAAAGAGGGUUAAAUAGCACGUGAAAUUGUUGAAAGGGAAGCGUUUGUGACCAGACUUGCGCCGUUCCGAUCAUCCGGUGUUCUCACCGGUGCACUCGGGACGGCUCAGGCCAGCAUCGGUUUUGGCGGGGGGACAAAGGUCCUGGGAACGUAGCUCCUCCGGGAGUGUUAUAGCCCAGGGCGUAAUGCCCUCGCCGGGACCGAGGUUCGCGCAUCUGCAAGGAUGCUGGCGUAAUGGUCAUCAACGACCCGUCUUGAAACACGGACCAAGGAGUCAAGGUUUUGCGCGAGUGUUUGGGUGUAAAACCCGCACGCGUAAUGAAAGUGAACGUAGGUGAGAGCUUCGGCGCAUCAUCGACCGAUCCUGAUGUAUUCGGAUGGAUUUGAGUAAGAGCGUUAAGCCUUGGACCCGAAAGAUGGUGAACUAUGCUUGGAUAGGGUGAAGCCAGAGGAAACUCUGGUGGAGGCUCGCAGCGGUUCUGACGUGCAAAUCGAUCGUCAAAUCUGAGCAUGGGGGCGAAAGACUAAUCGAACCAUCUAGUAGCUGGUUACCGCCGAAGUUUCCCUCAGGAUAGCAGUGUUGUUCUUCAGUUUUAUGAGGUAAAGCGAAUGAUUAGGGACUCGGGGGCGCUUUUUAGCCUUCAUCCAUUCUCAAACUUUAAAUAUGUAAGAAGCUCUUGUUACUUAAUUGAACGUGAGCAUUCGAAUGUACCAACACUAGUGGGCCAUUUUUGGUAAGCAGAACUGGCGAUGC